GACGAACGCUGGCGGCGUGCUUAAUACAUGCAAGUCAACUGAACUUAAGGUAGCAAUAUUUUAAGGGAGGUGGCGCACGGGUGAGUAACACGUAGGUAAUCUGCCUUUAGGUCUGACACAACCUACCGAAAGGUAGGCUAAUAUCAGAUGAUGCAGCGGCUCGACAUCGAGACAGUUGUUAAACCUUCGGGGCCUAAAGAUGAGCCUGCGUCUGAUUAGGUAGUUGGCGGAGUAAUAGCCCACCAAGCCUGCGAUCAGUAGCUGGUCUGAGAGGAUGAUCAGCCACACUGGAACUGAGACACGGUCCAGACUCCUACGGGAGGCAGCAGUAAGGAAUAUUGCUCAAUGGCCGAAAGGCUGAAGCAGCAACGCCGCGUGGAGGAUGAAAUAC
RNAcentral lists this ribosomal RNA (391 nucleotides) under uncultured bacterium. RNAcentral's name for it is "bacterial SSU rRNA". It matches the Rfam family "Bacterial small subunit ribosomal RNA", at positions 28 to 416 of the family's 1533-position model. The record is from RNAcentral.